UACAGAGGUCUCAAGCGUUGUUCGGAUUCAUUGGGCGUAAAGGGUGUGUAGGUGGCGCCGUAAGUCGGGUGUGAAAUUUCGGAGCUUAACUCCGAAACUGCAUUCGAUACUGCGGUGCUUGAGGACUGGAGAGGAGACUGGAAUUCAUGGUGUAGCAGUGAAAUGCGUAGAGAUCAUGAGGAAGACCAGUGGCGAAGGCGGGUCUCUGGACAGUUCCUGGCACUGAGACACGAAGGCCAGGGGAGCAAACGGG
Molecule: ribosomal RNA, 253 nt
Filed under: uncultured bacterium
Lineage: Bacteria
Description: partial 16S ribosomal RNA
Rfam family: Bacterial small subunit ribosomal RNA
Source: RNAcentral